CCUACGGGAGGCAGCAGUGAGGAAUAUUGGUCAAUGGCCGAGAGGCUGAACCAGCCAAGUCGCGUGAGGGAAGACGGCCCUACGGGUUGUAAACCUCUUUUGUCGGGGAGCAAAGCGAGUCACGUGUGACUCAUUGAGAGUACCCGAAGAAAAAGCAUCGGCUAACUCCGUGCCAGCAGCCGCGGUAAUACGGAGGAUGCAAGCGUUACUCGGAAUCACUGGGCGUAAAGAGCGCGUAGGCGGGAUAGCAAGUCAGAUGUGAAAUCCUAUGGCUUAACCAUAGAACUGCAUUUGAAACUGUUAUUCUAGAGUAUGGGAGAGGUAGGUGGAAUUCUUGGUGUAGGGGUAAAAUCCGUAGAGAUCAUACAGAACACCGAUUGCGAAGGCAGCUUACCAAACUACGACUGACGUUGAGGCACGAAAGCGUGGGGAGCAAACAGGAUUAGAUACCCCUGUAGUC
RNAcentral lists this ribosomal RNA (460 nucleotides) under uncultured bacterium. RNAcentral's name for it is "partial 16S ribosomal RNA". It matches the Rfam family "Bacterial small subunit ribosomal RNA", at positions 338 to 795 of the family's 1533-position model. The record is from RNAcentral.